GUGGAGUUCAUACAAGUGAGAAUGCCGGAAUGAGUAGCGAGAAUUGUGUGAGAAUCACAAUGGCCGAAAGCCUAAGGUUUCUGGAGGAAGGUUCGUCCUCUCCAGGUCAGCCGGGAGCUAAGGUGAGGCCGCAAGGCGUAGCCGAUGCACAUACGGUAGAGAUUCCGUAGCCGCCGAAACAGUUAAGCAUGGGGACACUUUUGAAGUGUUGGAGCCGGGAGUUGGUUUUCCGGUAGUAAUCGAGUGAAAUUUAGUAGCGAAGUCCAGCAUGGAGAGAGGCGAGAAAAGCCAUGUGUAUUUGUCAGGCGCCCGUACCGCAAACCGACACAGGUAGGUAGGAAGAAGAUUCUAAGGCCAACGGGAGAAGGGUUGUUAAGGAACUCGGCAAGUUGACCCCGUAACUUCGGGAGAAGGGGUGCUCAGAGAUGAGCCGCAGAGAAUAGGCCCAAGCAACUGUUUAGCAAAAACACAGGUCUGUGCUAAAUCGAAAGAUGACGUAUACGGGCUGACACCUGCCCGGUGCUGGAAGGUUAAGGGGAUCUGUGCAAGCAGAGAACUGAAGCCCCAGUAAACGGCGGCCGUAACUAUAACGGUCCUAAGGUAGCGAAAUUCCUUGUCAGGUAAGUUCUGACCCGCACGAAUGGUGUAAUGAUUUGGGCACUGUCUCAACAGCCCGCCCGGCGAAAUUGUAGUACCGGUGAAGAUGCCGGUUACCCGCGACAAGACGGAAAGACCCCAUGGAGCUUUACUGUAGCCUAAUAUUGGGUUUCGAUAUUGUAUGUACAGGAUAGGUGGGAGGCUAGGAAACAGUGGCGUCAGCUGCUGCGGAGCCGACCUUGGGAUACCACCCUUGCGAUAUUGGAAUUCUAACCUGCGGCCCUGAAUCGGGUCGGGGGACAUUGUUAGGUGGGCAGUUUGACUGGGGCGGUCGCCUCCUAAAGCGUAGCGGAGGCGUUCAAAGGUUGGCUCAGCUUGGACGGAAACCAAGCAAGAGAGUGCAAACGCAAAAGCCAGCCUAACUGCGAGACCGACGGGUCGAGCAGUAACGAAAGUUGGAGUUAGUGAUCCGGUGGUAUGUGAGUGGAAAUGCCAUCGCUCAACGGAUAAAAGUUACCCUGGGGAUAACAGGCUGAUCUCCCCCAAGAGUCCACAUCGACGGGGAGGUUUGGCACCUCGAUGUCGGCUCAUCGCAUCCUGGGGCUGUAUUCGGUCCCAAGGGUUUGGCUGUUCGCCAAUUAAAGCGGUACGCGAGCUGGGUUCAGAACGUCGUGAGACAGUUCGGUCCCUAUCUGUCGUGGGCGCAGGAUAUUUGAUGGGAUCUGUCCCUAGUACGAGAGGACCGGGAUGGACGCACCUCUGGUGCACCAGUUGUCACGCCAGUGGCACAGCUGGGCAGCUAUGUGCGGAUCGGAUAAACGCUGAAAGCAUCUAAGCGUGAAGCCGGCCCAAAGAUAAGAUAUCCCACUGAGUCAAUCAGGUAAGACCCCUUGAAGACUACAAGGUUGAUAGGCACAAGGUGUAAGCGUGGUGACACGUUCAGCCAGCGUGUACUAAUAGGUCGAGGGCUUGACCACAA
RNAcentral lists this ribosomal RNA (1576 nucleotides) under Gemmiger formicilis. Its description in RNAcentral is "partial 23S ribosomal RNA". It matches the Rfam family "Bacterial large subunit ribosomal RNA", at positions 1273 to 2925 of the family's 2925-position model. The record is from RNAcentral. Lineage: Bacteria; Bacillati; Bacillota; Clostridia; Eubacteriales; Oscillospiraceae.